GGUCAAGUUAUUAAGGGUGCAGGGCGGAUGCCUUGGCACUAGGAGCCGAUGAAGGACGUGAUAAGCUGCGAUAAGCUUCGGGGAGUUGCACGUAAACUUUGAUCCGAAGAUUUCCGAAUGAGGAAACUCACUUAGAGUAAUGUCUAAGUAUCAUUAAGUGAAUACAUAGCUUAAUGAGGGGAACUCAGGGAACUGAAACAUCUAAGUACCUGAAGGAAGAGAAAGAAAUUCGAUUCCGUAAGUAGCGGCGAGCGAACGCGGAUUAGCCCAAACCAAUAAAGUUUUCUUUAUUGGGGUUGCGGACAUAUCAUAACGAAGAGGUAUCGUAAUUGAAGAGGUUUGGAAAGACCCACCACAGAAGGUAAUAGUCCUGUAUGUUAAACGAGAAGACUUUAGAUAUGAUCCAGAGUACCACGGGACACGUGAAACCCUGUGGGAAGCAGGAGGGACCACCCUCCAAGGCUAAAUACUACCUAGUGACCGAUAGCGUAUAGUACCGUGAGGGAAAGGUGAAAAGAACCCCGGGAGGGGAGUGAAAUAGAACCUGAAACCCUGCACUUACAAGCUGUGGAAGCACAUUUCUUGUGUGACCGCGUACUUUUUGUAGAACGGGCCAACGAGUUACGUUAAGUAG
RNAcentral lists this ribosomal RNA (634 nucleotides) under Clostridioides difficile. RNAcentral describes it as "partial 23S ribosomal RNA". It matches the Rfam family "Bacterial large subunit ribosomal RNA", at positions 1 to 640 of the family's 2925-position model. The record is from RNAcentral. Lineage: Bacteria; Bacillati; Bacillota; Clostridia; Peptostreptococcales; Peptostreptococcaceae.